GACGAACGCUGGCGGCGUGCUUAACACAUGCAAGUCGAACGGGCCCGCCCCUGUUUUUGGGGGUGGGUUGAGUGGCGAACGGGUGAGUAUCACGUGAGUAACCUGCCCCCUGCUCCUGGAUAACUGCUUGAAAGGGCGGCUAAUACGGGGUGUGCCGGCUGGUCCGCAUGGGCCUGGUCGGGAUAGUUUCAUCUUCGGGUGUUUCGGUGGGGGAUGGGCUCGCGGCCUAUCAGCUUGUUGGUGGGGUGAUGGCCCACCAAGGCGGUGACGGGUAGCCGGCCUGAGAGGGUGGGCGGCCACACUGGGACUGAGACACGGCCCAGACUCCUGCGGGAGGCAGCAGUGGGGGGUAUUGCACAAUGGGCGGAAGCCUGAGGCAGCGACGUCGCGUGAGGGAUGGAGGCCGUCGGGUGGUAAACCUCUUUCUCCGGUGGUGAAGGCCCUGUCCGUUGCGGCGGGGUUGACGGUAGCCGGGUAUGAAGCGCCGGCUAACUACGUG
Molecule: ribosomal RNA, 499 nt
Filed under: uncultured bacterium
Lineage: Bacteria
Description: partial 16S ribosomal RNA
Rfam family: Bacterial small subunit ribosomal RNA
Source: RNAcentral